UGGCAGCAGUGGGGAAUUUUGGACAAUGGGCGAAAGCCUGAUCCAGCCAUGCCGCGUGAGUGAAGAAGGCCUUCGGGUUGUAAAGCUCUUUCGCAAGGAAAGAAAACUUAUUCGCUAAUACCGGGUGAGGAUGACGGUACCUUGAUAAGAAGCACCGGCUAACUACGUGCCAGCAGCCGCGGUAAUACGUAGGGUGCGAGCGUUAAUCGGAAUUACUGGGCGUAAAGCGAGCGCAGGCGGUUUUGUAAGUCAGAUGUGAAAGCCCCGGGCUCAACCUGGGAACUGCGUUUGAAACUGCAAGGCUAGAGUAUGGGAGAGGGGGGUAGAAUUCCACGUGUAGCAGUGAAAUGCGUAGAGAUGUGGAGGAAUACCAAUGGCGAAGGCAGCCCCCUGGCCUAAUACUGACGCUCAUGCUCGAAAGCGUGGGGAGCAAACAGGAUUAGAUACCCCUGUAGUC
RNAcentral lists this ribosomal RNA (457 nucleotides) under uncultured Methylovorus sp. RNAcentral's name for it is "bacterial SSU rRNA". It matches the Rfam family "Bacterial small subunit ribosomal RNA", at positions 346 to 795 of the family's 1533-position model. The record is from RNAcentral. Lineage: Bacteria; Pseudomonadati; Pseudomonadota; Betaproteobacteria; Nitrosomonadales; Methylophilaceae.